Non-coding RNA from Xyrichtys novacula (pearly razorfish), 4492 nucleotides. The record is from the annotation of a GenBank genome assembly. Lineage: Eukaryota; Metazoa; Chordata; Actinopteri; Labriformes; Labridae.
AUUCACCUUGGAGCUAGAACAGGGACGUGUACAUGAUUAUACAGGGGCAGGGGCUCAAGUUUUUUCCAGUCGUUUAUACAAUAUGGAAAUUAAUGUGAAAUUAAAAAACAAAGUAUUAAUAGAAAGGUAAUGACUGUCCUGUGUAGGUGACAGUGAUAUCCAAUAGGCUAGGCACUCACGAGGCUGGCUGUGGCAAGUGUAAGUGAAAGCAACACGCACUGGCAGGAAGAACAGCAAACGCCGAUGAAGGAAAAGGGUCUUUGUAGUGAUGGGCGUUACCAGAGAGGGCGAUGGCCAGAGGACGCGAAUGGGACGGGGAGGCAGCGCGGGGGGGGGGGGGCGCGACACGGCUCGGGCCCGCCAGUGCCCCAACGGGGCCCUAGUUAUUAUUUUUCUGCCCCUUUGAACUGGAAAAUGGCCCACUUCCCACUGGUGAAAAGUCAUGAAAUUUGGCAGGACGACCGGGCCUGGUGAAAAAUUCGAUAUUCUGAAGUCGCCCAAAAAAUCAAAUGCAAAAUGGCUCCAUAGCGCCCCCUAAGGUGAAAAAUUCACAUGAUUGAGUGUCACGCCUGUACGCUUUGUCAAAAUGACACAAAAUUUGACACACACGUGUAUCUCAAUAAGAUCUACAAAAAAGUCAGUGCGGGCGUAUCUGUCAAAUGUACGGUUAAAGGGCUAUUUCGCAUUUUUUGCCGAUCCGCACACAUUGGAAUUUCGCUAACUCCUCCGAAGGCUUUCGUUCCACCGGCACCAAAUUUGCUCAGGCCAAUCUACACCCCAUGGCCAUUAAAAGUUGUACAAAUCAUGACGCUGCAUCCCACGGUUUACGUUCUAGGGGGCGCCAAAGAUAACCCAGAAAUCCACAUUCUUAAAAGUCGUAUAACUUUUUAUUUUUGUCCUCACUGGCCUCCAAGUUUUCUAGGAUGAUGCAAUGUCCAGCCAUCAACACAUUUGUGAAGGAAUUUUUACUCCCCAAAAGAGCGCCCCCCCAUGGCAGGAGAAAAAAGUCAAUUUUUUCUUGUCUCCUAAGGCGAAAAUUCACACUAUUGACUGUCACGCCUUUACGCUUUGUCAUAUUGACACAAAAAUUGACACACACAUGUAUCUCAGUAAGAUCUACAAAAAAGUCAGUGCGGGCGUAUCUGUCAAAUGUACGGUGAAAGGGCUAUUUCGCAUUUUUUGCCGAUCCGCACACAUUGGAAUUUCGCUAACUCCUCCGAAGGCUUUCGUUCCAAAGGCACCACAUUUGCUGAGGCCAAUCUACACCCCAUGGCCAUUAAAAGUUGUACAAAUCAUGACGCUGCACCCCACGGUUUACGUUCUAGGGGGCGCCAAAGAUAACCCAAAAAUCCACAGUCUUAAAAGUCUUAUAACUUUUUAUUUUUGUCCUCACUGGCCUCCAAGUUCUCUAGGAUGAUGCAAUGUCCAGCCAUCAACACAUUUGUGAAGGAAUUUUUACUCGCCAAAAGAGCGCCCCCCCAUGGCAGGAGAAAAAAGUCCAUUUUUUCUUGUCUCCUAAGGCGAAAAUACACAUUGUUGACUGUCACGCCUUUACGCUUUGUCAAAAUGACACAAAAUUUGACACACACAUGUAUCUCAAUAAGAUCUACAAAAAAGUCAGUGCGGGCGUAUCUGUCAAAUGUACGGUUAAAGGGUUAUUUCGCAUUUUUUGCCGAUCCGCACACAUUGGAAUUUCGCUAACUCCUCCUAAAUCUUUUGUCCCAUCGGCUUCAAAUUUGCUCAGGUCAAUCUACACCCCAUGGCCAUUAAAAGUUGUACAAAUCAUGACGCUGCACCCCACAGUUUACGUUCUAGGGGGCGCCAAAGAGGACCCAAAUAUCCACAUUUUUAAAAGUCGUAUAACUUUUUAUUUUUGUCCUCACUGGCCUCCAAGUUUUCUAGGAUUAUGCAAUGUCCAGCCAUCAACACAUUUGUGAAGGAAUUUUUUCUCCCCAAAAGAGCGCCCCCCCAUGGCAGGAGAAAAAGUCAAGUUUUUCCUGCCCAUCGCUCAAUGGCUCAAACGCAUCGCUCUCUCUGCAAAACCGAAAGGAGGAGCAACUUGCCAUUUGGAUAUAUACCAGCUGUGUUUGUGCCCUCACUCAUGGUCCAGACUUUUUUCAAAUAGGACAUGUAGUUUGUCUGCAGCGAGCGUUUUGGUAGAAACUGCGCCUCCCAUUCAUUAUAAUGGGAAAUGACCACAGACAAGUGCGCACACCAUCUUUGGACCUUGAGUGUGACGCAAUCGGGAGGGGGAGGCGGUCGCGCUGGGGGCGGCGCGACGCGGCUCGGGCCCGACAGUGCCCCACCGGGGCCCUAGUUCGUUAUUAUUUUUCCUCCGCUUUAAACUGGAAAAUGGCCCACUUCCCACUGGCGAAAACUCAGGAAAUUUGGCAGGACGACCGGGCCUGGUGAAAAAUUCGAUAUUCUGAAGUCGCCCAAACAAUAAAAUGCAAAAUGGCUCCAUAGCGCCCCCUAAGGUGAAAAUUCACAUGACGGCUGUACGCUUUGUCAUAUUGACACAAAAAUUGACACACACAUGUAUCUCAAUAAGAUCUACAAAAAAGUCAGUGCGGGCGUAUCUGUCAAAUGUACGGUUAAUGGGUUAUUUUGCAUUUUUUGCAGAUCUGCACACAUUGGAAUUUCGCUAACUCCUCUGAAGGCUUUCGUUCGACCGGCACCACAUUUGCGCAGGCCAAUCUACCCCCCAUGGCCAUUAAAAGUUGUACAAAUCAUGACGCUGCACCCCACGGUUUACGUUCUAGGGGGCGCCAAAGAUAACCCAAAAUCCACAUUCUUAAAAGUCUUAUAACUUUUUAUUUUUGUCCUCACUGCCCUCCAAGUUUUCUAGGAUGAUGCAAUGUCCAGCCAUCAACACAUUUGUGAAGGAAUUUUUACUCCCCAAAAGAGCGCCCCCCCAUGGCAGGAGAAAAAAGUCAAUUUUUUCUUGUCCCCUUACAUGAAAAUACACAUUGUUGAGUGUCACGCCUGAACGCUUUGUCAUAUUGACACAAAAAUUGACAAUCAUGUGUAUCUCAAUUAGAUCUACGAAAAAGUCAAAAAGCGCGUAUCUGUAUAAUGUACGGUUAAAGGGCUAUUUCGCAUUUUUUGCGGAUUCGCACACAUUGGAAUGUGGCUAUCUCCUCCUAAGGCUUUCGUCCCAUCGGCUUCAAAUUUGCUCAGGUCAAUCUACACCCCAUGGCCAUUUAAAGUUGUAAAAAUCAUGACGCUGCACCCCACGGUUUACGUUCUAGGGGGCGCCAAAGAUGACCCAAAAAUCCACAUUCUUAAAAGUCAUUUUGGCCACUGCAGGAGUACAGAGUACUGCAGUUCUAGGGGGCGCCAAAGAUGACCCAAAAAUCCACAUUCUUAAAAGUCUUUUUGGCCACUGCAGGAGUACAGAGUACUGCAGGAUACACACACAUACACACACACACACACACACACACACACACACACACACACACACACACACUCAGAGUCUGGUUUUUAGCACCUGCAAAAACAUGCUGUUUACAUAUUUGACAAGAAUGCAGAGGCUUCCUUUUGCCCCUGAAAAAAAUCAGAUUUCAAACACAACUUGACUGUUCAUUUCUCCAAAAGACAACCAUGAAGCUCCAUCCAAACCUGAAGCAGAUAGUUGGUGCAUGUGUACAGUAACCUGAGGGGAGUGAGGUGACUAUUUCUGAGGAUAACAUGAGCAGUGAAGAUUCACCUUGGAGCUAGAACAGGGACGUGCACAUGAUUAUACAGGGGCAGGGGCUCAAGUUUUUUCCAGUCAUUUAUACAAUAUGGAAAUUAAUGUGAAAUUAAACCACAAAUAUGUGUGAUGAACUGUUUUUAAAACUUAAACUUCAAAUAAAAAUUGUAAACUUCAAAACAUAUGCAAAUUUUUAACAAAGAACAUAGUAAUUUACCUCUAUUUACAUCAAAAUGCAGGCAAUGGCCCAGGCGUUCUUUGUAAAAUUAUUUACAAAACACUGUAUAGUCUCACAAAUGUCACUUUUUAUUUAUGCCACUACAAAAAAACAUGAUGUAAAUGAUGCAUGAUGUAAAACAUGAUGUAAAAAACUUGUGUAGAUCCUCCUCUAUGUCAGUCCAUGUGUAAUUUUUCCAUAAUUCUUUGUUUUUUGCAGCAUUUUUGUUAGUGUAACUGCAGAUUGUGCUGACAAUCUAUGGCAAAAAAAACCAAAAACUGAAAAUGCCUCAACAUGAACCCCUGGUGGUCUCUGAGGGUGAAACCUGCUAACUGCUGCAGCUCUGUCAGCUUCAGUCUCCCAUGCAGAGCUCUGAGCGCAUGUGUGGCUCUGCACCCUUAGCAGCGUUGCUAACUCCUCAGUAAGGAAAGCCUGCUUCAUGUCAGAGUCUCUAAACUCCAGAAGAAGUCGAUAAAAGUCCCUUUCUUUCUAAAAAAAGUCGUUAGGGGGUCUGAAAAGUCAUUGAAUCUAACAACAAAGUCGCUAGGUUUGCAACUACGUGUCCCAGACUGCAUCCC